Xiphophorus hellerii (green swordtail) is the source of this 210-nucleotide long non-coding RNA. RefSeq lists it as uncharacterized. NCBI's taxonomy places the organism in Eukaryota, Metazoa, Chordata, Actinopteri, Cyprinodontiformes, Poeciliidae. The record is from RefSeq and is a predicted model, not a curated record. The transcript is spliced from 3 exons.
GUGAAGAGAGCUGGGCUGAGCACACAGCCCUGCGGCGUGCCUGUGUUGAGGACCAGUGGGGACGAUGUUGAGCCACUUAUUCUCACCACCUGAGGCCUGUUGGUGAGGAAGUCUCUGAUCCAGUGGCACAGUGAAGCGGGCAGCCCCACCUCGAGUAGCUUCAGCACCAGCUUGUCUGGGAUGACGGUAUUAAAUGCUGAGCUGAGGUCA